UACGUAGGGUGCAAGCGUUAAUCGGAAUUACUGGGCGUAAAGCGUGCGCAGGCGGUUAUGUAAGACAGUUGUGAAAUCCCCGGGCUCAACCUGGGAACUGCAUUUGUGACUGCAUAGCUAGAGUACGGUAGAGGGGGAUGGAAUUCCGCGUGUAGCAGUGAAAUGCGUAGAUAUGCGGAGGAACACCGAUGGCGAAGGCAAUCCCCUGGACCUGUACUGACGCUCAUGCACGAAAGCGUGGGGAGCAAACAGG
RNAcentral lists this ribosomal RNA (253 nucleotides) under uncultured bacterium. RNAcentral describes it as "partial 16S ribosomal RNA". It matches the Rfam family "Bacterial small subunit ribosomal RNA", at positions 524 to 776 of the family's 1533-position model. The record is from RNAcentral.